This is a non-coding RNA of Lineus longissimus, 82 nucleotides long. Lineage: Eukaryota; Metazoa; Nemertea; Pilidiophora; Heteronemertea; Lineidae. The record is from the annotation of a RefSeq genome assembly.
GCCUGGGAAAUUCCCUUUAGCUCAGUCGGUAGAGUGAUGGCCUUAUAAGCGAGAGGUCCCGGGUUCAAUCCCCGGUUGGGCC